GGGCUGUUAGCUCAACGGUAGAGCAGCUGACUCUUAAUCAGUAGGUUCGGAGUUCGAAUCUCCGACAGCCCACCA
Molecule: transfer RNA, 75 nt
Filed under: Nevskiaceae bacterium
Lineage: Bacteria; Pseudomonadati; Pseudomonadota; Gammaproteobacteria; Nevskiales; Nevskiaceae
Description: tRNA-Lys
Rfam family: tRNA
About the family: Transfer RNA (tRNA) molecules are approximately 80 nucleotides in length. Their secondary structure includes four short double-helical elements and three loops (D, anti-codon, and T loops).
Source: RNAcentral